RNAcentral lists this unclassified non-coding RNA (1604 nucleotides) under Hevea brasiliensis (rubber tree). The record is from RNAcentral. Lineage: Eukaryota; Viridiplantae; Streptophyta; Magnoliopsida; Malpighiales; Euphorbiaceae.
UCAACUAGUCUUAUUAGUAACUAAUUAGGAAUGCUAAUCAAAUUCAAACUUCCUGAAUAAAAUAAAAUACUACUUCCUUGUUAAAUUUCCUAAAUAUUAGAAAUAUAAAAUUCCUAAUUUUAGAAUGAAAACUUAAAUCAAAAUAAUUCUUAAACCUAUUCUUCCUUGACUGCAUCAAUUAUGCAGUAACAAAGGCUUGAGCCUAUCAUUCAGUGAAUGCAGUUGAAGGAAGGGUUUCACAUAGCUACAUGGUAUCAGGUUCAUCUAUUAUUGUCACUCAUUUCACUAUAUGGACUGCUCAUCCUUAUGGUUCUAACUUAUUUGUGAAUCCCUUAUCUUUCCGAAAUUCAGUGAUGUAGAACCACAAAGAAAUACCAAAUUGAUGUAGAAUCACAAAAAAACACUCAAAGGGGAAAAUAAGUAAACUCUCAAAUUUGAUUAAUUCUCAAUUGUUUUGCAUAGCUAUUUAUGAUAUCUCAAAAUAAGAAAAUACUAAACAAACACUAAUUAACAAUACCAAGUCAACAUAAACUCCUACGUAAAUAAAAUGCUAGUACUACGUUACAUUUUCUAAAUUUCUCCCUAAAAUAUGUAGUCGUAAAAUAUCUAGUGGAAGGACAUACAUCAGUCAUUCAUCAUUCUGUGUGAAUGAUGUUCCAAAGAGAAACACUUGGCUAAUUUAAAUAGUAGAAGAACAUAUGACACAUACAAUGAAGCACAAUGGAUGAUGGUCAACCACAUGCUCCAGGGGUAGUUUUUAUUCCUGGGCCUACAUGAGCUUGAAAUCUGCUUUAGUAAACAGCGCACUCUUUUAAUUUGAUUUGAUUUUAUAUGUUCAACCUUGAAGGAUUGCAGAAAAAUUGAGAAUUAACGCCAAAUUGUCUCACUGUGGUUAAGCCUUUCAUGCUGUAAUAUAUAGGUAGAGUUCAUUGGUUUCCCUGGUAGAGGAUCUGGCACUUCCCAAAACACACCCAAGUGGCCUGGCAUCAUCUUGCUUGAUAAUUGUAAAAUGCAUGAUCACACUAUACGUUUUUCUGGUAUCACUAGAGAUUAUCAGCUGUCUCCACCUUCGAUUAGUGAAGAGGCUGAAAGCUUUCUCCUAAAUGCCAUAAACAUGAACUUCUUUGAGCGAUUGAACCUGGCAUGGAAGAUAAUAUUCCCAUCACCAGCACGAAGAAAGAGCUCAAAUGCAAGGAUUGCCAAACAACGGUUGAAGAUGAUUCUUUUCUCUGACAGAUGUGCAGUGAGUGAUGAAGCAAAACGGAAGAUUGUAAAAAACGUUGUGCAUGCUCUAUCAGAAUUUGUGGAGAUAGACUCACAGGAUAAAGUGCAGCUGAACGUCACUACCGAUUUUGAUCUUGGGACUGUAUAUUCUGUUACAGUGCCUGUACGACGGGUGAGGGCAGAAUAUCAGGAUGCAGAAAAAAUCGGAUCAAUAACAAACAUCGAGUACAAAGAUACUGGAGAAACUUCUGGUUCUGUAGACGUCCGAUUUGAUUUCUUCAUCCCUGAUGAAAGAACCCGGUGAUUUCUUAAAGCUUAAAAUAAAACAGUGUUGGCAAGUAUCCAAGACUUUGUCUUUCCAUGUUUGGAUCUUUUGCUAG